UAACUCCAGGCUAGGCUUUUGUCUUGGCUUCGUUUUACCUUCUUACCAAAUCAAGGAUAUGUCUCCAAAGUGAAAACAGGAAUAUAUCUUACUGUGUGAUUAUUUUGGGGUGAAGAACCUUAAGUUUUUGAACAGAAUUGGGUUUUGUUAUGAUAUUUCUCAUUUUAUUUUUUUUUAGUUUUUUAAAUCAUUUUUAUUUUUUAUUAAAGUAUAGUUGAUUUACAGUGUGCUGAUUUCUCUCUACAGCAAAGUGUCUCAGUUAUACACAUUCUUUUUUAUUACUCUUUUCCAUCAUAGUCUGUCCCAGGAUAUUGGUUAUAUUUCCUUGUGCUGUACAGUAGGACCUUGUUUAUCCAUUCUGAAUGUAAUAGUUCCCAGGCUAGGGAUCCAAUAGGAGCUGUAGCCACUGGCCUGAGCCAGAGCCACAGCAACAUGGGAUCUGAGCAGUGUCUGCGACCCACACUAUAGCUCACUAUAGAUCCUUAACCCACUGAGCGAGGCCAGGGAUUGAACCUGUGUUCUCAUGGAUGCUAGUUGAGUUUGUUAACUGCUUAGCCCCAUUUGUGCCAUAUUUUAGAGUCCACAUAUAAAGUGGUAUCGUAUGGAAUUUGUCCUUCUCUUUCUGACUUACUUCUCUUAGUAUGAGAAUCUCUAAUUGUAUCCAUGUUGCUGCAGAUGGCAUUCUUUUUUAUGGCUAAGUAGUAUUCCAUUGUAAAUAUGUGCCACAUCUUAUUAAUCAGUCCAUCUAUCAGUGGACAUUUAGGUUGUUUCUAUUUCUUAGCUAUUGUGAGCAAUGCUGCAGUGAACAUAGGGUGGCGUGCAUGUAUCUUUUUGAAUUAUAGUUUGUUCAGAUAUAUGUCCAGGAGUGGGAUUGCUGGAUCAUAUGGUAGUUCUAUAGUUACCUGAGGAGCUGCAUGCAGAAGUUCAAGGACUAGGGAUGAAUCUAAGCCACAGCAUUGACCCCAGCCACUGCAGUGACAACGUAAUAAAUGUGCCAGGCACUACAAUACAGUGACAAACAGAAUACGGUCCUUGAACAUUUUCCUUUUUCAGGACAAGAUCUUGCAGUAUUGCUGUAAUGUAUUGAUACCAUGAUAUUAUAUGUGGUUCUCACCAAACUUGUUCUUAAGAUAUAGUAGAGAUUUCUGAAGAACUGUCUCAGGAUGUGUUAUUUUUUUGCCAGAGCAAAUCAAUUCUAGGAAAAAAUCUCUAACUUGAAGAAUCCUUGUUGUGUGCCUAUGAUUUAACCAGCAGUCCAUUGCACAGUUAAUCCUUUGUGAUAUCAGUGGGUUAAGUUCUCUGUUCAAAUAAAAACCAGCAUUCUGCUACCUGUGCCUUCUAUCAGAAGGAAUAUUCAUUCCUUCAUUCAGCUUGUAUUGGUUGUAUACAGUCAUCCCUCCAUAUCUGUAGGUUCUGAAAUUUUGGAUUCAGCCAACCACAAAUCAGAAAUAUUUUGGGGAAAAAUUCUAAAAAGUUCCAAAAAGCAAACAUGAAUUUGCUUCACGUUAUCAACUGUAUAGUAUUUACAUUGUAGUAUUUACAACUAUUUAUAUAGCAUUUACAUUAUUAUAUAUUGUAAGUACUCUAGAAAUGAUUUAAAUUAUAGAGAAGGAUGUUCUUAGAUUAUAUGCAAUUACUAUGCUAUCUUAUAUAAGGCACUUUAGCAUCCCUUGGUUUUUGGUAUCUGUGAUGGGACUUAGAACCAGUCCCCCACAGAUAAUGAGGGAGAACUGUAAUUACUUUGCCAAGUAAUGUACUAAGCCAAACAGUUCAGUAACAGUGAGUAAUAAUAGUCAAAAAUCACUGCCUUCAUGGUGCUCACUUUCUAGUAAGUGGUAAGACAGAUAUUAUAGAAAUGGAUGUGAUGUCAUAGCAUUUCAGUGAUUAGUGUUAUAAAGGAAAUGUAAACAUGUAAGGGGAUGUUAGGUAGUUAGGGAAGUCCUUUGAGAUAGUAGUAUUUGUGCAGAGAUCUGAAUGAUAUGAAGGACCCCAUGAAUGUAUCUUGGACAUAAGCAUUAGUGCCGAGUCAGUGGUGUGUUUAGUGUGUCUAAGAAAUAGGAAAGAGCUGGAACAGAGUGAACAAUGUGGGGAAGAAUAAUAGAAAAUAGGGAGAAGAGGUAGCCAGGGUCUAGAUAAUGUAGGGACUUGACUAAGUGUCUAGGUUUUAUUUUCCAUUUGAGAGGAGGUUAUUGGAAGGUUUCGAGAAUGGAGGUGAUUUGAUCUUAUAUAUGCUUUAAAAGGCAAGAGUGAUGCAACCAGAGUGACUGGUUAGGAGGCAGUUGUAAUAUUUGAGGCAAGAGAUGAUUAUGGGUUGAACCUAAAGUGUUACCAGAGGGAUGGAUUUGGGAUAUGUUUUGAAGGUCAUAGAGAUGAUAACCUGGAUUGGAUGUGAGGUCUGAGUAUAAGAGUUAAGAAUGACUCUAAUGAUGGCCUUAACAGUUGAAUACCAUUUACUGAGAUGAGGAACACUGGGUGAGACAGGUUGGGGGGAUGCAGAACUUAAGGGUUUGGUUUGGGUAUAUUGACUUUGAAUUUUCUGUUAAAUGUUUCAGGUUGAGAUAUUGAGUAGGCUGUUGGAUGUGUAAGUUUCGAGGUCUGGGCAAAUAAAAAUUUGGGAGCUGAUCAGUGUAGAGAUGCUAUUUAGAGCCCUGAGACUUCUUGAGAUUAUGUGGAUAGUGAAUGUAGAUAGAGAAGAGAUGAAGUUCUUGGACUGAGUUGUGGAGUAUUCUUGACACAAUAAAAAAUGCCAGAGUUGAAAGAAUCUUUUGAUAACUUCAGGAGUAAUACUUUGCUGAGAAAGAAAACCCAACAGGUGCUAACUAGUCAAGACAUAGAGACAAAAAUAAAAUGGUUGAGGAACAAAUUGCCUUUUUUUUUUUUUUUUGUCUUUUUUCCUUUUCUAGGGCUGCUUCCCAUGACAUCUGGAGGUUCCCAGGCUAGGGGUCUAAUUGGAGCUGUAGCCGCCAGCCUGUGCCACAGCUCAUGGCAAUGCCGGAUCCUUAACCCACUGAGCAAGGCCAGGGAUCGAACCUGCAACCUCAUGGUUCCUAGUCCGAUUCGUUAACCACUGCACCACAACGGGAACUCCACAGAUUGCUAUUUUUUAAUCUAUUAAAUAGCUCUUUGUGUCACAGAGACCACAAAACUUAUUUUAUAUGAAAUUAAGGACCAGAGUACCUAUUUCUACUUGAUUACUAUGAAAAGAUGGCCAAAGUGGUCAUUACCUUCCUAGAUAUCAUUGUGGUAGGCAACAUAAGAUAAAUUCAAGUUUAUAAAAUGAACGAAUGAGAGGAGUUCUCUUGUGGUGUGGUGGGUUAAGGAUCUGGUGUUGUCACUACAGUGGCUUGGGCUGCCACUCUGGCGUGAGUUCCUUCCCUGGCCCAGGAACUUCCACUUGCUGAGAGUGCAGCUUAAAACAAAACAAAACAAAAACAAAAACAAGAGAGAUUUCAAAAGACAUGAUGCCGCUUACUCAUUAACAUGAUAACUGUUUCUAGAUUUGAAAAUUUAUAGUGUAAGUGAGAUGAAGCUGUCUCCUAAUUAUUUAUCCUAUCAUCGGGCAUUGUUAAACCUUCCUUUAAAGAAGCUGAUUUUUUGGAGUUCCCACUGUGGCUCAGUGGAAGUGAAUCCAACUAGUAUCCAUGAAAAUGCAGGUUAGAUCCCUGGCCUCGCUCAGUGGGUUAAGGAUCUGGUGUUACCAUGAAUGUAGUGCACGUCUCAGACAUGGCUCUGAUCCUGUGUUGCUGUGGCUGUGGCUAGGGCUGGUAGCUACGGCUCAGAUUUGACACCUAGCCUGAGAACUUGCUUAUGCAGUGGGUGUGGCCCUAAAAAGAAGAAAAAAAAAAAA
RNAcentral lists this long non-coding RNA (3847 nucleotides) under Sus scrofa (pig). Its description in RNAcentral is "lncRNA (ENSSSCG00005016413.1)". Lineage: Eukaryota; Metazoa; Chordata; Mammalia; Artiodactyla; Suidae. The record is from RNAcentral.